RNAcentral lists this long non-coding RNA (1388 nucleotides) under Bemisia tabaci. Its description in RNAcentral is "lncRNA ENSSSA1NGG005400". Lineage: Eukaryota; Metazoa; Arthropoda; Insecta; Hemiptera; Aleyrodidae. The record is from RNAcentral.
UCGAUUUUUCAAACUGAAUUUUCGGUUUAUCAAACUAAUCCUUCGGUUCGUUUAACCAAACUUGUUCCGUAAGGUAAGCUGACAAAGUUUGGUCAUACACGGAGAAAAAAGAUUGGCGGCUGUGACUAUUUGGGGUUGGUAAAGCAGGAUUUAGUAUGACGCAACUGAAACAUUAGAAACUGUAACUCACUGAAUUAGCGGCCUAAACCAACCCGGUUUUGUAAUUUACGGUCUAGUGCGCCUAACUAGGACCGUGAUACAACUUAACAUACAGUCUAGUCACAAAAACCUAUCUCUCAGGCUCCCAGAUUUACCAACCCAUGUUAGUCAUAGUUUCCUUUCCGGUCAGUCCGACUAACCUUUGUCCCAGUUAUCAAAAACUGAGCUACUUUAUAUUCUACAACAAAUUUAAAAAGUUCGAAAUACAAUAAUUAAAAGGUGAUGGAUAACACGAAAUAAGUUGAAUUUCCAUAAUGUAUUGGUGGAAAUAUGUAAGUUGAGCAGGUAAUUUUAACCUCAACGCAGUUAGUGUAGAUACUUGUUUAUGUUGGUAGUGUUCACAAGAGAUUCCUAUCAGUCUAAACAGACCUGUGUGUUAUCAAUUUCUUUCUGCGGGUUGGGAUUUCUGAUUCGCUAAGCUGAUUCGCUUCAUCACGUGAAAUGUGAAUCACCACCACAAGCCCAGUGACUCUGGUGACUCAUGUAAUCUGUGCUCUGGAAUUUAUAGGCCUAUUCUAGUCAAGGCGUUCUGUGCUUCGUCGGUGCCGGUGCCGGUAAUUUUGGUGCUGUGUUUUACUCACUGUUAGUCUUAUUUCGUUAAAUUAAUAAAUUAUAAUGUGCAGUUACUUAGUUAGUUAGUGACUUAGACUUAGUCAUCGAGUGCAAAUGCGUCGUGCCAACGCUAAUAAGAAAGGAAAGGUCGGCUGCGGCAAUGGCUCCCGUGGAAAGGCCCUAGUAGAUGCCGCGCUGAACAAACCGAGGCAAUAAAUGACGACGAGUAUCAGACAUCAGUCGAGUGGCUAAACAUUAGUAUUUCUCCAUGGAAUAUUGUCAUCCAAAAGUGGAAGAUAACAGCACCUAGAAGACUUCAUGAGUAUGAAAUCACAAAAGUUCCAAUUUCAGACUAUGUAGCUCUGUUUCCAGCCCUACAAUUAUCAGAAGGAUCUGAAUUGAUUGAAAUAGACUUUGGUGUCAAAUACAGAGAACACAAAGACUGCUUCCACGAGGCUUGGCCUCAUCUAAAAGAUGCACUCAUACCGCACGCUCAACGCAAAAUUAAGGAUGACCCAACAUUCAAAGCAAUAAUAAAAGCGAACAAAAUUGAUUUUGAUGUCUCCAGUGAGUACCCUAGAAUACUUAGUUUUUGCCUUCUCCAUCUGUCUACAUUU